Haliotis rubra (blacklip abalone) is the source of this 1234-nucleotide long non-coding RNA. RefSeq lists it as uncharacterized. The record is from RefSeq and is a predicted model, not a curated record. Lineage: Eukaryota; Metazoa; Mollusca; Gastropoda; Lepetellida; Haliotidae. The transcript has 2 exons.
CGCUAAAAUUUGCCUAUGUUGAAUUCCAAUGAAUCCCGGAAAUUGAACAAACCAAACUAUUUAUCGAUAUUGUAAACCAAUUUGUAGUGAGAAGCCUUUUUCCAAGGAGUUCUUUGAAUGUAGCGCGAUCGUGUGUCGCAAUGCGGUUAGCCUCUCGUGGUCAAGUUCGCUGUCGCCCCAGAUACGAGAAACGACAAAAGAAGGGUUACGCUAUUAUCUAAUGGGGGAGAUAGGUUACGUCAUGUUCGAAAUGAAUAACUGUCAAUAUAAUACACAAAACAAAAUGUAUUCAGUCAUUUUAAAAUUAAACUUGAUGAGUAACAUUACAAUCUCAAUUACUGCAAUACCACUGGAAUUGCAAUGACAAUGAAAGAAUUCCAUUUUAUGCUACCUUCUCCACCUCAUGUAAUCUUACGUAGACUGGUCCAAUCAAGAAUGACCACAAGGAUUUGAUCGUGUAAAGUUAGGCCUACUGUCGAUUAACGAAGCUGACAUUUAUGGUAGAAUUGUGUAUGCCCUGAAACAUUCCCAUCACGGAUACAAUUGAAGAACUUUGCAAGUGUGAAAAGGGCCAAGAUGAUGAAACAGUGGCAACGGCACGAGAAUCGACGCGUUGGCGAUCAGACCCCUGCAAAAUGGCCGAGUACGACCUCUUCUGUACACUGCUGGAUUCGGUGCAGUAUGAUUUUAAACUUUCAACUCGAUUCCGGCAUGGGAUAGCAGAAUGACGGCUGUUGCGCGAAGGCAGUGAUUUGUGUAUGUGUGUGGCAACUUGGCAUUCUUGGAGAUGUUUUUCAUCAUUUGUGACAGUGAAUUUUUGCCAACGCAUCGUGACUGAAGUGAGGUGUACCCAACAGAAUCGCAGAUAUCGACGACAGAUUUCGGAUGUUGAAAGAACGAUUCAUUAUUGGGAUUCAUGUGGGAUUUGUACAACAUGAAGGAUGAAACCGGACACAAAAGGCCAUUCUCAUCAACCUUAGCAAAGCGGGACUGUGGAGGGACGCUCGGUGUACAAGAUGGAGCCGGGUCAGCGUUAGCGCUGGAAUUUCGAAGUGGAAACGUCCGGAGUGCUGGCAUUGGUGUAUUUUGGAAGAUCAUUAUCUAGAAACAAGUAUCAUUAACUUAUUCUUUGGCUGAAUAAUAAUCUUUAAACUUGGAAUAUUGUACCAAAUUAAAUACUCGAAUGCUUGAAAUUUGCGGAGCAGUUCAUUUGUGAAUAAACAUCAUUGAAGGA